GAUGAAGAACGCAGCGAAAUGCGAUACGUAGUGUGAAUUGCAGAAUUCAGUGAAUCAUCGAAUCUUUGAACGCACAUUGCACCUCUCGGUAUUCCGGGAGGUAUGCCUGUUCGAGCGUCAUUUGUACCCUCAAGCUCUGCUUGGUGUUGGGUGUUUGUUCCGCCUCUGUGUGUGAACUCGCCUCAAAACAAUUGGCAGCCGGCGUACUUGUUUCGGAGCGCAGCACAUUUUGCGAUCCAGAUCAACGUACAGCGGCAUCCAAGAAGCCUUAUUUAACGCUCUUGACCUCGGAUCAGGUAGGGAUACCCGCUGAACUUAAGCAUAUCAAUAAGCGGAGGAA
This 340-nucleotide unclassified non-coding RNA is filed under the name soil metagenome. Its description in RNAcentral is "partial contains 5.8S ribosomal RNA, internal transcribed spacer 2, and large subunit ribosomal RNA". The stretch from base 1 to 120 matches the Rfam family "5.8S ribosomal RNA", at positions 35 to 154 of the family's 154-position model. The record is from RNAcentral.